RNAcentral lists this ribosomal RNA (270 nucleotides) under uncultured archaeon. RNAcentral describes it as "partial 16S ribosomal RNA". It matches the Rfam family "Archaeal small subunit ribosomal RNA", at positions 477 to 747 of the family's 1478-position model. The record is from RNAcentral.
CAGCACCUCAAGUGGUCAGGAUGAUUAUUGGGCCCAAAGCAUCCGUAGCCGGCGCUGUAAGUUUUCGGUUAAAUCUGUACGCUCAACGUACAGGCUGCCGGGAAUACUGCAGCGCUAGGGAGUGGGAGAGGUAGACGGUACUCGGUAGGAAGGGGUAAAAUCCUUUGAUCUAUUGAUGACCACCUGUGGCGAAGGCGGUCUACCAGAACACGUCCGACGGUGAGGGAUGAAAGCUGGGGGAGCAAACCGGAUUAGAUACCCGAGUAGUCC